UUGUGCGUAUGCGGAACCUUUUGAGAUGAGACGUGAUUUCAGUCCGGACGAAUAUCCACAGCGCCACUGUAAACAUGGCAGACAUUCCAAGUGAUGCGCCACAGCACUGCCCCGGUACGGCCAGUGAGCAGGCAGGGAAGACCUCAGCAUGUCAGGGUUGUCCCAUACCAGAACCUCCUGCUCCUCUGGAGCCACUAAAGCACCAGACCCAGCCAUAGAGAGAUAGCAGAGAAGAUGUUAACAGUGAAACAUAAGAUCUUGGUCCUGUCAGGGAAAGGAGGAGUAGGGAAGAGUACGUUCAGCGCACAUCUGGCCCACGCACGCUAGUUGACGCCACUAAA
This is a non-coding RNA of Salvelinus sp. IW2-2015, 341 nucleotides long. The record is from RefSeq and is a predicted model, not a curated record. NCBI's taxonomy places the organism in Eukaryota, Metazoa, Chordata, Actinopteri, Salmoniformes, Salmonidae.